Catharus ustulatus (Swainson's thrush) is the source of this 2686-nucleotide long non-coding RNA. RefSeq lists it as uncharacterized. The transcript has 2 exons. The record is from RefSeq and is a predicted model, not a curated record. NCBI's taxonomy places the organism in Eukaryota, Metazoa, Chordata, Aves, Passeriformes, Turdidae.
CGCGCUUCGCGCGAGAAGCGCGGCAAGUCUCGCGAUGGUUCGAGGGCGUGAGGGCGGGGAGGGCCCGGCCCGGUCCCGGCUGCGCGGUGGGAAAAGCGCGAAGGAUGGAAACGGCGGCACCUGGGAGUUCGGCCUCCAGGGCACGCCUCGCCUGUGUAUCUUCACACGUUUUCUGGUCCUGAUGGUACAGAGACACUGGCAGGAAUGGAGACCUGGUCAAGACAAAGUCUUAAAUGAAAUGCAAAAUAAAGAGUCAGCAGUGUGCCCAUGCUGCUCUUAAAAGCAGACCCUUGUGAUGUAGCUCUGCUCUGAUGCAAAUUUGGGAAGAAAAAAUGCAUCUGGGUUUGAUGUUGCAUUUCUUCAUAAAAGAGUCAGCAGCCGGUUUGUUGAGAGUGUUGGUAAAGCAGACAGGCAUUUGUGUUUAAAGGACUUGCAAGUUUGGAAUCCAGGUAAAACCCAAGUUUUUUGGUUCUGUUUUUGGCCAUAGUCUGUUAAUAGUGGAAACUUAAUGGUCAAACAUCUGUGUUCAUGUGUGUCAUCUGUGGCUUCUAUGUCAUGGAUUCCCUCAGCAGAGUUUCCUCAGGUGCCAAGAGCCUGACUGGUUGGGAAUGUGCCAUAAAUAUGGAAUUUAAAUGUAGAUUGUUCCUGUGGAUCUCAACUCGCAGAUGUUAAGUUUCCACUUUGCAGUAUCCUGAGUAUAAACCAGCAGAAAGGAGAGUAAAGAAAACCAUUUCUCAGUGGAAGAAAGGGAUUGCUAAACAACAGAGCAAAUCAGGCAGCAGAGAGUCCUGGUGCAGCUGAAACUUGUGUGCACCUGAAGUUACAACAGCUGAAUUACAUCUCUAGUACUGUUAGUGCCACUCUUGACCUCCUGUAGCUUGCCUGAAUUGCUGGGAUUGAAUUUCCAGAUGCCCUUAUUUGUUUGUUUGCUAUCACUUCUGAGUCGGGUAGCAAAAUUUGAAGGGGCAAUAGAUCAGUCCUUGUUGGAGACAAUUGCAAUCUCAUGGUCCUCUGUAGUCCAGGCAUACUUGGUAGUCACCUGCAGCAAGAUCCAUCCCUGGGAAAACUCUGGUGUUUGAAGCUGGAAACCAGCUCAAAUUGGUUUGGUUUUCAUUCCUGCUUGUUGAAGUUCUGGGCUAGCUUUGAUCAACUGAGUAAAUGAGGGCAGUGGUCAUCUCCUUACCCAAGAGCCUGAAGAAGCUCGGGAGCCACGUGUGAUCUCUGCUGUUACUGUACUGCUCCUGAUAACUCUGCUGUUACCAGUACUGUUACUGAUGCUGUUGAAGAAAGGGUUUUGAGUUGUGGAGUCAACAUUAUGCUCCAAACAGCUCAGGAGAUGAGGCAAAAUGUGAUGAGACACUCUUGGGUUCAUGUGACAGAUGUGCACGUAUUGAGAGACAGCACCAAAUAAAGCAAGCUGACCAACAGAGCCCAAAGGAUGCCAUUUUGUGUCCUAAAAACCAUAAAUCUAAUACUUAAAUUGUUGCCAUCUUACCAAAUUUCAGUCAACCUGCCUGAAAUUCGUGGCUGUUUGGCAUAUGAGGGAAAGCAGCAUAAACUAGUAAAAUCUGUUAGUAGGUCAGUUAGGGAGAAAGCAGUUUCAUUAUUAGUUUUCUUUUUCUGUAUUUAUUUUCCAUACUGUUGUUUUCUUUUACUUCAAGGGGAAAGAAGAGCUUAAAUUACUAAACUUUUAUUGAUAUUUGGAACAAAAAAAAAAUCCUGUGGUGCUUCAUUUUUGUAUUUUAGCAGUGGGUUUUCUAUUGUCCAGGAGUUUGUAGUAAAAUGACCUGCAAUUCACAUGUUCCUUGUGCUACACACAUUGAAGUUCUGAUGGAUGUUUUGACAGCAUAUGGUGGUCAAGAAAGUGGGGAAGCUGAUCUAAACCCCAGGAUUUUGGGUUGGUUUGGGUUUUUUUUUACCUCCCUCAAAAAGGAAAAUCCUUUUGUUGGCGAUGAGGAAGACCAAUACAUGAACAGGAGAAUUAUUAUUGAAAAUGGGAAAAAGUCAUGUGGAUGCUGUUUCUCAGUAUGUUAAAGAAAAAAUUUCUCUUUAAUGUCAGAAAUACUUUCUUAGUUUUGGGUAGUAAGGGGAGUGAACUAGUCUAGGAAAUGGGCUAUUAUAAAGAAAAAAAUACAGUUUUUUUAAAUGAAAGUUUUAAAAUCAAGGCUAAAUGCUUUGUUGUAGACCUUAAUUUUUAUUGUUGUGUCUUGCUUGAAUCAUGUCAUUGUUUUAGUCUAUUGCCCUCUGUGUCCUUGGUUAGCAUAAGUUUUAAACCUGGAUUGUCUUUGAAGGGCUUGGUGCUGGAAUUCAUCUGGGAAUUAAGUGGCAAUUCCUGGUCAUAAGAAGUCCACAUGGUCACCAGGUAAGCAGUAAUAUCCAUCCCUGUGCAGCAACAUGUCAGCAAUUCAGUCCAAACAUGGCAAACCAUGAAUUUAUGUCAUGGCCUUAAUUGUGUUCUGAGCUGUUCCAUGAAAUUCAGAAAGCAGGGCAUUUUUGGGUGUUCUGUAGAUUUGCUGUGUAAGAGAGGCCAAUUCUCUGCAUGCCAGCAUGAACAAAGGGACCUCUUUGCUGAAGCUCUACCAGUAGAAGAAACAACUGUUAGAACAUCUGUAUCCUAUUUUUGCAGUAUAUAGAUCUGUGUUAUACUCACUGACAGUUUCUGCUGACUUGGAGAAAUAAAUAGUGU